UAGGGAAUCUUCCGCAAUGGGCGAAAGCCUGACGGAGCAACGCCGCGUGAGUGAUGAAGGUCUUCGGAUCGUAAAACUCUGUUAUUAGGGAAGAACAAAUGUGUAAGUAACUAUGCACGUCUUGACAGUACCUAAUCAGAAAGCCACGGCUAACUACGUGCCAGCAGCCGCGGUAAUACGUAGGUGGCAAGCGUUAUCCGGAAUUAUUGGGCGUAAAGCGCGCGUAGGCGGUUUUUUAAGUCUGAUGUGAAAGCCCACGGCUCAACCGUGGAGGGUCAUUGGAAACUGGGAAACUUGAGUGCAGAAGAGGAAAGUGGAAUUCCAUGUGUAGCGGUGAAAUGCGCAGGGAUAUGGAGGAACACCAGUGGCGAAGGCGACUUUCUGGUCUGUAACUGACGCUGAUGUGCGAAAGCGUGGGGAUCAAACAGG
RNAcentral lists this ribosomal RNA (429 nucleotides) under Actinomycetes bacterium. Its description in RNAcentral is "Actinobacteria bacterium partial 16S ribosomal RNA". It matches the Rfam family "Bacterial small subunit ribosomal RNA", at positions 355 to 776 of the family's 1533-position model. The record is from RNAcentral. Lineage: Bacteria; Bacillati; Actinomycetota; Actinomycetes.